AUGGUGUCCGGGGCGAGACACACCUCGAUGUCCACGCUGCCGUCGCCGGAGCGGCCCGGGAACGCCGACAUCUUGCCGUCGAACUUGUUGGCGCGCCCGCUGCGCACCGCCAGGGGGCGGCCCCACCCGAAGUCGUUGCCCUCGUACAUCGGGAACCGGUUGGAGCUGCCCAUCGUCACCACCGCGCCGUCCGGGUUGCCAAGCGGGAAGCACCGGGGCGCCGCCUGCCACGCCGCCGCGACGCCGCGUAUCGCCUCGUCCCCGUACGCCGCCAGGCUGGCGUGCAACCUGGACGCAGCCCACCGCAGGUCGUUGGACGCCAGCUCUGCCACCGUCGCCGUCGUCGGCGCGCUCUGGAUGGCGUUGCCGAAGUAG
Molecule: ribosomal RNA, 375 nt
Filed under: Triticum aestivum (bread wheat)
Lineage: Eukaryota; Viridiplantae; Streptophyta; Magnoliopsida; Poales; Poaceae
Description: partial small subunit ribosomal RNA
Source: RNAcentral